GCAGGUUCUUCUUCAAACUAUAAUCUCGAUGAUAAGUUUGAUCAAUGUUGUGAUCAAGCAUUAGAGAGUUAUGGUAAUCGUCAACGAGUCAAGCCAAAGAAGAAAAAAGCAUAUAUCGAAAGACAUCGUGAAGAAGGUCACAUCCAAUUAGUGAACGACUAUUUUACAGAAAAUCCAACAUAUCCUCCCCAUAUAUUCCGACGUCGGUUUAGAAUGAACAAACCGUUGUUCAUGCGUAUUGUUGAGAGAUUCUCCAAUGCAGUCCCAUACUUUAAACAAAGAAGAGAUGCUACAGGAAGACUCGGUUUCUCGGCACUACAGAAGUCUACAACAGCAAUUCGUAUGCUCGCAUAUGGUAUUGCGGCUGAUGCGGUUGAUGAAUACCUCCGAAUUGGUGAAUGCACGUCGCUAUUAUGUUUGGAACAUUUUGCAGAAGGAAUCAUAAAUUUGUUCGGGGAUGAGUAUCUAAGAAGACCCACACGAGAUGAUCUUAUACGACUACUCCAUAUUGGAGAGCAACGUGGAUUUCCCGGGAUGAUAGGAAGCAUCGACUGUAUGCAUUGGGAGUAAAAAAAUUGUCCCACCGCUUGGAAAGGACAAUAUACACGUGGAUCAGGAAAACCAACAAUCGUUUUAGAGGCCGUUGCUUCCCAAGAUCUCUGGAUAUGGCACGCGUUUUUUGGACCUCCAGAUGGAAUUUAUCCUAAAUGGGCUACAUUUAUCCAAUCAAUUUCAAUUCCACAAGGUGAUAAAGCUUCUUUAUUUGCUACAACUCAAGAAGCUUGUCGUAAAGAUGUUGAGCGUGCUUUCGGAGUUUUGCAAGCUCGGUUUGCCAUUGUCAAACAUCCAGCUCUUUUUCAUGAUAAGGUGAAAAUUGAAAAUAUUAUGCGAGCAUGUAUAAUACUUCACAAUAUGAUAGUAGAGGACGAACGAGAUGGGUAUACUCAGUUUGAUGUAUCUGAAUUCGUACAUCCAGAAUCAACCAGCUCUUCACAAGUGGAUUUCACUUAUGCUAGAGAUAUAUAUGCCUUCAAAUCUCGGUAAUAUGAUGGCCACUAGAGCCCGAGUUCGUGAUCGGAUUAAACAUGAAGAAUUGAAAGCUGAUUUAGUUGAACAUGUAUGGCAACAUUAUUACCAGAAUCAAUCUUAAAAUGUAAUCGUUAUUUUUUUCGCUUUUUUAAUAUGUUUUUUUUCUU
Long non-coding RNA from Arabidopsis lyrata subsp. lyrata, 1196 nucleotides. RefSeq lists it as uncharacterized. NCBI's taxonomy places the organism in Eukaryota, Viridiplantae, Streptophyta, Magnoliopsida, Brassicales, Brassicaceae. The transcript is spliced from 2 exons. The record is from RefSeq and is a predicted model, not a curated record.